RNAcentral lists this ribosomal RNA (253 nucleotides) under uncultured bacterium. RNAcentral describes it as "partial 16S ribosomal RNA". It matches the Rfam family "Bacterial small subunit ribosomal RNA", at positions 524 to 776 of the family's 1533-position model. The record is from RNAcentral.
UACGUAGGGUGCAAGCGUUGUCCGGAAUUAUUGGGCGUAAAGAGCGUGUAGGCGGCCCGAUUAGUCCGCUGUGAAAGUCCAGGGCUCAACCCUGGAAUGCCGGUGGAUACUGUCGGGCUAGAGUCCGGAAGGGGCGAGUGGAAUUCCUGGUGUAGCGGUGAAAUGCGCAGAUAUCAGGAGGAACACCAAUGGCGAAGGCAGCUCGCUGGGACGUGACUGACGCUGAGGCGCGAAAGCGUGGGGAGCAAACAGG